Molecule: long non-coding RNA, 1289 nt
Organism: Oxyura jamaicensis (ruddy duck)
Lineage: Eukaryota; Metazoa; Chordata; Aves; Anseriformes; Anatidae
Exons: 6
Source: RefSeq, a predicted model, not a curated record
ACACUGAACAACAGCCGUCCCUGCCCACAGCAGCUCGGAGCUGUGGGAGCAGUGGGCCAGCCGCCUCACCACAUCUGUGUUUUCAGCCCAGGCUGCCCAGAGUCGUGGAGCUGACAUGCUUCCAGCACUGCAGAUGCUGGCACAGCCGCUCUGCCCAGACAGCAGCUGAGCUCUGCGGCGAUCCGUGUCCUGACAUGAGCCGAGCUGCAGAGGAAAUGACUGGAGAAGCAAAUUGCGUUCGAAGAAGUACGGCGGAUGGGGACAAUUCUUCCACGAUUUUGUGGAUAUACAAGACUCAGCUUGAUUCUCCUUGAACCCUACCUGGUUGGAAGAGAAAAGCGUAAGUGGUUCUUCUCCCCUCUCCUAACCUAAGAGACUCCAGGAAGUGUUUAGCCAGCAGAAGAGGCACAGUGACAAUUACUUACGGGAUCAUUCUUGCCCAGCUGAAUGCGAUACCGAGUAAUGAAAGUUGGCUUUCCUGUUACAUCAGCCACCAUAAGGAUUCCAUUGAAGCACCAGAAAGCAAGGCUAGGAACCAACGCAGCCCCUGUGACAGGAGGAAAGAAGUGCUUCUCCUCAAGCCUCUUUGUUCUAACAGUCUUACCAAGAAGCAGAGUUCAUAAAAGCAGUGAAUAUGAGCAGGCCUGUACCGAGGACCAAGGCAGAGGUCUUCACAGCAUCCCAGAGCUUCUCUUCCUGUGAGCAAGCAACAAGAGUAAGUAUGUGAUAACUUUCUGCCAAUUUAGCAUGUUGCAUGAAUUACACAACCUGAGUGAAGUUCUGGGCUGGGAAGGCAAAAUGGUCACAAUCACCCACAGAGAUAAGCUUUGAAUCCGAAUAGCGCCCAGAAGAUGCUGACAGCAUCAAGGUCGCUUGAUAGAGAGCAGUGGCCAGAAAAAACCCUCUCCUUUUACAUCUACAUUUCUGCUGAGGCAUGAAUGCUAAACCGGGGAGACUGAACUAUGCCUGAAGUGUAAGAGAUACUAAGAGUUGUUUUUUUUUUUUCCAGAUGCAGCCCUGCCCGGGGAGGCUGGCAGCCUAAAAGUGAGGAAAUACUGUUUCAGCGUUACGAUUAGUAGACAAGCUUCCGAAUAAAUCACAGAGCUGCCAUCAGCCAGCAAAGCAGCGGUGCUGGCAGCUGCGUGACACCAGAAGCCAUGUCGGGCUGUUUUAGUGAAGUUCUGGUGUUAAAUGUGACUUAAAUACCACUUCUGGAACAGAACCCAGCGCACAGCUGGCAGACGGGACCGGCACAGAGACCUCUGAGGCGAGGCGGCACUGGCAGGGCC